AAGAACGUUAUUAGUAGGAAAUGGCUAAUAAGUGACGGUACCUUACCAGAAAGGGACGGCUAACUACGUGCCAGCAGCCGCGGUAAUACGUAGGUCCCGAGCGUUAUCCGGAAUUAUUGGGCGUAAAGGGCACGUAGGCGGACAAAUAAGUUUGAUGUCAAAUAUGAUGGCUCAACCAUCAAGAGGCGUUGAAAACUGUUUAUCUAGAAUCUCGGAGAGGUAAGUGGAAUUCCAUGUGUAGCGGUGGAAUGCGUAGAUAUAUGGAGGAACACCAAUGGCGAAGGCAGCUUACUGGACGAAGAUUGACGCUGAGGUGCGAAAGCGUGGGUAGCAAACAGGAUUAGAUACCCUGGUAG
Molecule: ribosomal RNA, 356 nt
Filed under: uncultured bacterium
Lineage: Bacteria
Description: bacterial SSU rRNA
Rfam family: Bacterial small subunit ribosomal RNA
Source: RNAcentral